Molecule: ribosomal RNA, 798 nt
Filed under: uncultured bacterium
Lineage: Bacteria
Description: bacterial SSU rRNA
Rfam family: Bacterial small subunit ribosomal RNA
Source: RNAcentral
GUUUGAUCCUGGCUCAGAGUGAACGCUGGCGGCGUGGUUUAGGCAUGCAAGUCGAACGAUACCGCAAGGUAUAGUGGCAAAAGGGUGCGUAACGCGUGAGCAAUCUACCUUUGAGUGGGGAAUAACCUUGGGAAACCGAGGCUAAAACCGCAUAUGACCAAGGCUCGGCAUCGAGCUGAGGUAAAAGACGGGGACCGUAAGGCCUGUCGCUUGAAGAUGAGCUCGCGUCCUAUCAGCUUGUUGGCGGGGUAACGGCCCACCAAGGCUUUUGACGGGUAGCUGGUCUGAGAGGAUGGUCAGCCACAUUGGGACUGAGACACUGCCCAGACUCCUACGGGAGGCUGCAGUCGAGAAUCUUUUGCAAUGCCCGAAAGGGUGACAAUGCGACGCCGCGUGUGCGAUGAAGGUCUUCGGAUUGUAAAGCACUGUCAGCCGGGAGGAAGUCCCACACCUUUAACAAAGGUGCGGGAUUGACAGUACCGGCAGAGGAAGCCACGGCUAACUCCGUGCCAGCAGCCGCGGUAAUACGGAGGUGGCAAGCGUUACUCGGAUUGAUUGGGUGUAAAGGGCGUGUAGGUGGUGAAUUAAGUCGAGUGUGAAAUCCCUUGGCUCAACCAAGGAACUGCAUUCGAAACUGAUUUGCUUGAGUGAUAGAGAGGUAAGCGGAAUUCCCGGUGUAACAGUGAAAUGUGUAGAUAUCGGGAGGAACACCAGUGGCGAAGGCGGCUUACUGGCUAUUUACUGACACUGAAACGCGAGAGCUAGGGGAGCAAACAGGAUUAGAUACCCUGGUAGUCC